GGAGGUAGUGACAAUAAAUCACAAUGCGGGACUAUUUAGUUUUGCAAUUGAAUUGAGAACAAUGUACAAGAGUUAUCGAUAAACAAUUGGAGGGCAAGUCUGGUGCCAGCAGCCGCGGUAAUUCCAGCUCCAAUAGCGUAUAUUAACGUUGUUGCAGUUAAAAAGCUCGUAGUUGAAGUGUGGGAUAAUGUAUAUUGGAUCUUUUUGUGAAGAUAUAUGUUGUCCCCCCUCCAAUUUCGGUCUGUGGGUAUUAAUUUACUUGCAGUUCGUGUUGGUCAUUUACUGUGAGAAAAUUAGAGUGUUCAAAGCAGGCAUUUGCUUGAAUAUAUUAGCAUGGAAUAAUAUUAAAAGGCUUGUAUGGUCGAUUUAAUUGGUUUGUUCAUAUAAGCAAGAUUAAUAGGGACAGUUGGGGGUAUUCAUAUUCAAUAGUUAGAGGUGAAAUUCUCGGAUUUAUGGAAGAUGAACAA
RNAcentral lists this ribosomal RNA (467 nucleotides) under Blastocystis sp. subtype 26. RNAcentral describes it as "SSU rRNA". It matches the Rfam family "Eukaryotic small subunit ribosomal RNA", at positions 460 to 942 of the family's 1831-position model. Lineage: Eukaryota; Bigyra; Opalinata; Blastocystidae. The record is from RNAcentral.